This 497-nucleotide ribosomal RNA is filed under the name uncultured bacterium. RNAcentral's name for it is "partial 16S ribosomal RNA". It matches the Rfam family "Bacterial small subunit ribosomal RNA", at positions 28 to 507 of the family's 1533-position model. The record is from RNAcentral.
GAUGAACGCUGGCGGCGUGCCUAAUACAUGCAAGUCGAGCGAACGGACGAGAAGCUUGCUUUUCUGAUGUUAGCGGCGGACGGGUGAGUAACACGUGGAUAACCUACCUAUAAGACUGGGAUAACUUCGGGAAACCGGAGCUAAUACCGGAUAAUAUUUUGAACCGCAUGGUUCAAAAGUGAAAGACGGUCUUGCUGUCACUUAUAGAUGGAUCCGCGCUGCAUUAGCUAGUUGGUAAGGUAACGGCUUACCAAGGCAACGAUGCAUAGCCGACCUGAGAGGGUGAUCGGCCACACUGGAACUGAGACACGGUCCAGACUCCUACGGGAGGCAGCAGUAGGGAAUCUUCGGCAAUGGGCGAAAGCCUGACGGAGCAACGCCGCGUGAGUGAUGAAGGUCUUCGGAUCGUAAAACUCUGUUAUUAGGGAAGAACAGAUGUGUAAGUAACUGUGCACAUCUUGACGGUACCUAAUCAGAAAGCCACGGCUAACUACGUG